CGACUGGCGACCGGCGCACGGGUGAGUAACACGUAUCCAACCUGCCCGAUACCGGGGUAUAGCCCAUGGAAACGUGGAUUAACACCCCAUAGUACUUUUAUCCUGCAUGGGAUGUGAGUUAAAUGUUCAAGGUAUCGGAUGGGCAUGCGUCCUAUUAGUUAGUUGGCGGGGUAACAGCCCACCAAGACGAUGAUAGGUAGGGGUUCUGAGAGGAAGGUCCCCCACAUUGGAACUGAGACACGGUCCAA
This 248-nucleotide ribosomal RNA is filed under the name uncultured bacterium. RNAcentral describes it as "partial 16S ribosomal RNA". It matches the Rfam family "Bacterial small subunit ribosomal RNA", at positions 85 to 334 of the family's 1533-position model. The record is from RNAcentral.